RNAcentral lists this ribosomal RNA (485 nucleotides) under uncultured bacterium. Its description in RNAcentral is "bacterial SSU rRNA". It matches the Rfam family "Bacterial small subunit ribosomal RNA", at positions 221 to 701 of the family's 1533-position model. The record is from RNAcentral.
GAGGACGGGUCCGCGUCCCAUCAGCUAGUUGGUGAGGUAAUGGCUACACCAAGGCGAAGACGGGUAGCUGGUCUGAGAGGAUGAUCAGCCACACUGGAACUGAGACACGGUCCAGACUCCUACGGGAGGCAGCAGUGGGGAAUAUUGCGCAAUGGGCGAAAGCCUGACGCAGCCACGCCGCGUGAGCGAUGAAGGUCUUCGGAUCGUAAAGCUCUGUGGGGGGAGAAGAAGAAAGUCGGUGAAGAGCCGGCCCUGACGGUAUCCCCUUAGCAAGCACCGGCUAACUCCGUGCCAGCAGCCGCGGUAAUACGGAGGGUGCAAACGUUGCUCGGAAUCAUUGGGCGUAAAGCGCGCGUAGGCGGCUGAACAAGUUGGAUGUGAAAGCCCUGGGCUCAACCUAGGAUGUGCAUUCAAAACUGUUCGGCUUGAGUCUCGGAGGGGGUCAGAGAAUUCUCGGUGUAGAGGUGAAAUUCGUAGAUAUCGGG